GUCUGACUGUCUGUCUGGAGGUAGGACCAACAAGGGGGAGUGCUACAAAUGCAAGUUAACUGGCCACUGGGCCCGAGGUCGCCAUAAAGAGCGCCCCUGGGCCAUACCCAGCCUGCAAAGAAACAGGUCAUUAAAAGAGGGACUGCCCCAGUUUCAAAGGGAAGGGGGAGGCUCCUGUUCCCAAGAUCUCCAUGCUGGAUGACUGAGGCAAACAAAGGAGUCUUGUGGCUCCCAUCCAAUGAGACAUCUAUCUGGAUUGAGGAGCCCUGGGUAGUCCUUGACAUGGCAGCUGCCUGGGCUCCACCCCCUGCUCUCUGUCCCUUCCAUUCAGCUUCCAGUUUCUGCCUUGAAUGGGCUCACUCGGGUAUGUUUUCCCCUCCACUUCCACCACCAACAAGCUACCUCUCAAUGUGUCUCCCAGUCUAACCCCCACCAAGAGGAAGACUGGGAAUCAGUGUUACUAUGAAGGAAGACUCUGACUUCACCCCUCCUCAGAAGCCCCCAGACACCCUGAAGUUAGACGUCCAACUGAUACAUCACAGUGGCCAAGACCACAGUCAGUUGGUGAUCCUUAAUCCAGGAAAUGGACCUAGACUCAUUAAGUUCAGAAGCGGUAUGGCUUCAGUAAACUUUUGUCAGUUGUUCUUAGAACCUAACCCAUCUACAAGGCAUGUGAGUGUCUUCAAGAUCUGUUCUUUGCCUACCUUUACUGCUAAGAUUAUCUCUAGCCUCAUACUUUGUGUAUGGAAAAAUUCCAAACUUAUAGAAGAAUCAAACAAGUAUCACAAUAUACAUGUACC
RNAcentral lists this long non-coding RNA (800 nucleotides) under Capra hircus (goat). RNAcentral describes it as "lncRNA (ENSCHIG00000001153.1)". Lineage: Eukaryota; Metazoa; Chordata; Mammalia; Artiodactyla; Bovidae. The record is from RNAcentral.